AACUGAGAAAGAAUUGAGAUGAUUAUGCAAUAUAUUGAUCGCCGGUAACUGUCGCUACUGUUAGUUAAUCCACUUUAGUGGUUGCCGUAAAAAACAGCGGCUUCCAUGACUGUCGCUGGCCGCCAUUUUUCUGACGUGUCCUUUGAUAUUAGUCGAUCUCUUUCAGCUGACGCUGCGGCUAAGAAACGAACAGGGCCAUAAUAUUUUUAUUGUCUAAUUCUGCAUCACUACACUAACGGUCUUUGUGUGUCUCUGACUGUGCAGUGGGCAUUGUCGUCUACAAAAAUAACGGUAUUUUUAUCCGCUUGGAUUGACUUUACUCCAUAUGAUCUUCUCCUCUGUCUUGUGCUUCCUUCUCACCAAAGUCCUUAAGAUCUUCAAGGUUGAGGAAGGAAUGACAUUAAAAAUGUAAGGA
This is a long non-coding RNA of Brassica rapa (field mustard), 415 nucleotides long. RefSeq lists it as uncharacterized. The record is from RefSeq and is a predicted model, not a curated record. Lineage: Eukaryota; Viridiplantae; Streptophyta; Magnoliopsida; Brassicales; Brassicaceae.